This 497-nucleotide ribosomal RNA is filed under the name uncultured bacterium. RNAcentral's name for it is "bacterial SSU rRNA". It matches the Rfam family "Bacterial small subunit ribosomal RNA", at positions 18 to 507 of the family's 1533-position model. The record is from RNAcentral.
CCUGGCUCAGAUUGAACGCUGCGGCAUGCUUUACACAUGCAAGUCGAACGGCGAGCGCGGGGGCAACCCUGGCGGCGAGUGGCGAACGGGUGAGCAAUGCAUCGGAACGUAUCCUGUAAUGGGGGAUAACGUAGCGAAAGUUACGCUAAUACCGCAUACGCUCGAGAGAGGAAAGUGGGGGAUCGCAAGACCUCACGUUAUAGGAGCGGCCGAUGUCCGAUUAGCUAGUUGGUGGGGUAAAGGCCUACCAAGGCGACGAUCGGUAGCUGGUCUGAGAGGAUGAUCAGCCACACUGGGACUGAGACACGGCCCAGACUCCUACGGGAGGCAGCAGUGGGGGAAUUUUUGGACAAUGGGCGAAAGCCUGAUCCAGCCAUGCCGCGUGCGGGAAGAAGGCCUUCGGGUUGUAAACCGCUUUAGUCCGGGAAAAAGGGGUGCGAGGAUAAUACCCUUGUGCUUUGAUGGUACUGGAAGAAUAAGCACCGGCUAACUACGUG